CUACGUGCCAGCAGCCGCGGUAAUACGUAGGUGGCGAGCGUUGUCCGGAAUCAUUGGGCGUAAAGGGAGCGCAGGCGGGCAUGUAAGUCUUUCUUAAAAGUUCGGGGCUCAACCCCGUGAUGGGAAAGAAACUAUGUGUCUUGAGUACAGGAGAGGAAAGCGGAAUUCCCAGUGUAGCGGUGAAAUGCGUAGACAUUGGGAGGAACACCAGUGGCGAAGGCGGCUUUCUGGACUGCAACUGACGCUGAGGCUCGAAAGCCAGGGGAGCGAACGGGAUUAGAUACCCCGGUAGUCCUGGCCGUAAACGAUGGAUACUAGGUGUGAGAGGUAUCGACCCCUACCGUGCCGGAGUUAACGCAAUAAGUAUCCCACCUGGGGAGUACGCCGGCAACGGUGAAACUCAAAGGAAUUGACGGGGGCCCGCACAAGCGGAGGAACAUGUGGUUUAAUUCGAUGAUACGCGAGGAACCUUACCCGGGCUUGAAUUGCAGACGAUGUAUUUAGAGAUAG
Molecule: ribosomal RNA, 510 nt
Filed under: uncultured bacterium
Lineage: Bacteria
Description: bacterial SSU rRNA
Rfam family: Bacterial small subunit ribosomal RNA
Source: RNAcentral